Molecule: transfer RNA, 62 nt
Filed under: Longicollum sp. (in: thorny-headed worms)
Lineage: Eukaryota; Metazoa; Acanthocephala; Palaeacanthocephala; Echinorhynchida; Pomphorhynchidae
Description: tRNA-Trp
Source: RNAcentral
UAGAAUUUAGGUUAUUAGUAGACUUUGAAUUUUCAAGAUUCAAGGAACUUAGGUAGUUCUAG